Molecule: ribosomal RNA, 206 nt
Filed under: uncultured bacterium
Lineage: Bacteria
Description: partial 16S ribosomal RNA
Rfam family: Bacterial small subunit ribosomal RNA
Source: RNAcentral
AGCGCAGGUGGUUGUAUAAGUCUGAAGUAAAAGGCAGUGGCUCAACCAUUGUGUGCUUUGGAAACUGUACAACUUGAGUGCAGAAGGGGAGAGUGGAAUUCCAUGUGUAGCGGUGAAAUGCGUAGAUAUAUGGAGGAACACCGGUGGCGAAAGCGGCUCUCUGGUCUGUAACUGACACUGAGGCUGAAAGCGUGGGGGAGCAAACA